AGCGGUAGAGAGGUGCUUGCACCUCUUGAGAGCGGCGGACGGGUGAGUAAAGCCUAGGAAUCUGCCUGGUAGUGGGGGAUAACGCUCGGAAACGGACGCUAAUACCGCAUACGUCCUACGGGAGAAAGCAGGGGACCUUCGGGCCUUGCGCUAUCAGAUGAGCCUAGGUCGGAUUAGCUAGUUGGUGAGGUAAUGGCUCACCAAGGCGACGAUCCGUAACUGGUCUGAGAGGAUGAUCAGUCACACUGGAACUGAGACACGGUCCAGACUCCUACGGGAGGCAGCAGUGGGGAAUAUUGGACAAUGGGCGAAAGCCUGAUCCAGCCAUGCCGCGUGUGUGAAGAAGGUCUUCGGAUUGUAAAGCACUUUAAGUUGGGAGGAAGGGCAUUAACCUAAUACGUUAGUGUUUUGACGUUACCGACAGAAUAAGCACCGGCUAACUCUGUGCCAGCAGCCGCGGUAAUACAGAGGGUGCAAGCGUUAAUCGGAAUUACUGGGCGUAAAGCGCGCGUAGGUGGUUCGUUAAGUUGGAUGUGAAAUCCCCGGGCUCAACCUGGGAACUGCAUUCAAAACUGUCGAGCUAGAGUAUGGUAGAGGGUGGUGGAAUUUC
RNAcentral lists this ribosomal RNA (610 nucleotides) under Pseudomonas sp. 161(2013). Its description in RNAcentral is "bacterial SSU rRNA". It matches the Rfam family "Bacterial small subunit ribosomal RNA", at positions 65 to 670 of the family's 1533-position model. The record is from RNAcentral. Lineage: Bacteria; Pseudomonadati; Pseudomonadota; Gammaproteobacteria; Pseudomonadales; Pseudomonadaceae.